This 349-nucleotide ribosomal RNA is filed under the name uncultured Bacteroidota bacterium. RNAcentral's name for it is "bacterial SSU rRNA". It matches the Rfam family "Bacterial small subunit ribosomal RNA", at positions 1033 to 1382 of the family's 1533-position model. The record is from RNAcentral. Lineage: Bacteria; Pseudomonadati; Bacteroidota.
GCAAGGUGCUGCAUGGUUGUCGUCAGCUCGUGCCGUGAGGUGUCGGGUUAAGUCCCAUAACGAGCGCAACCCCUAUGUUAGUUGCCAUCAGGUCAUGCUGGGGACUCUAACAAAACUGCCCGCGUAAGCGUGGAGGAAGGUGGGGAUGACGUCAAAUCAGCACGGCCCUUACGUCCAGGGCUACACACGUGCUACAAUGGCCGGUACAGAGGGCAGCCACUUGGUGACAAGGAGCAAAUCUCAAAAGCCGGUCUCAGUUCGGAUCGGAGUCUGCAACUCGACUCCGUGAAGUUGGAUUCGCUAGUAAUCGUAGAUCAGCAAUGCUACGGUGAAUACGUUCCCGGGCCUU